RNAcentral lists this ribosomal RNA (119 nucleotides) under Monopterus albus (swamp eel). Lineage: Eukaryota; Metazoa; Chordata; Actinopteri; Synbranchiformes; Synbranchidae. The record is from RNAcentral.
UCCUACAGCCACACCUCUCUGGAUGUGUCUCAUCUCGUCUGUUCUCUGAAGCUAAACAGGGCUGGGCCUGGUCUGUACUUGGAUGGGAAACCACCUGGAAAUGCCAAGGUCUGUAGGCU